CCCAGCUUUAGGCUAUUGGAACAGACAUUUAUGCUGUCACUGGACAGGGUUUGAACCCGCGCAUGCAUCUCUACUUUCAGUGACUGUGACUGGUCCUGCACUAUAGGCGUAUUUGACAUGGACUUUCGAGGGUUUCCAAGAAAAGGGUUUGAAUUUUCACACAUAACUUGAGCAGGGUUUGAACCGGGGUUGCCUGGAUGAAUGCCAGUGUGUAUAUCUCUACACCAACAGGGGCUGUGACUUGUCAUGCACUAUAGGCAUAUAUGACAUGCACUUUCGAGGGUUUCCAGGAAAAAGUAAGCACUCUAUUUUCGCACAUAAGUGAGCAGGGUU
Hippocampus zosterae (dwarf seahorse) is the source of this 333-nucleotide long non-coding RNA. RefSeq lists it as uncharacterized. The transcript is spliced from 2 exons. The record is from RefSeq and is a predicted model, not a curated record. Lineage: Eukaryota; Metazoa; Chordata; Actinopteri; Syngnathiformes; Syngnathidae.